AUGACUGUUACUUUAUUUUAUUUUAACCUGAAAGGUAAGCAAGAUUUAGUGGACAGCAAGCUCUUCUCAAAGCUAGGAAGAGUACUCAGGAGGGGGAUCCAGAACCCAGAGCCAGAGACCAAAUACUCGAACCAGAAGUCACUCGGGUCAACAAGGAAUAGAAUCAUGGAUUAGGAGAGCUGGAAAAGAGCCCUGGGAUCCCUGGUUCAUCCUUCUUAUUUUACAGCAAGGAAGCAAAGUCCAGGAAAUUAAAGCGAUGUGGGGAACCAAGGUCACCCAACUCAGAGAUGGCUCUGGGACGCCUGGUCUCCGGACUCCCGGUCCAGUAUCCUUUCUUCUCCAUCACUCCAUUUUAUUUCAAGUGGAAUUAUUUUGAAAGGGAUUAACUUGUGAGUACAUAUUUCUGGGUUUGUUCAUAAGCUCAUAAACAUAAGGAACUCCCAGUGUAGAGACUCCUUCCAUGCGUAUACAUUGUCUAGACUCUUCUGCAACACAGUCAUAGAGUCUGGGUCAGAGGCUUGGCUUGAACCUAGGAUUACCCAGCUCAAAGGCCUGUUCUUUCUACUGCCCCCAGCAUGUCUCUCAUGAAGAAUUAACCAUCAUUCUGGAAAAUGUAAACAGAUAAAGCCGUCUGCAUUUGAUGUUAUCUCAGCAAUAACCAUUUCCAGCAGAAUUAGUAGGGAAGACACUGGUCCUGGUUUUUGUAAGAGGGAUGGGAUUACUAUUAUGCCACACUUUUGUUCUGUAGAAAUCCUCCCUUUCUCUCCCCUCACCUGCAGCUCAGAACUGGAAUUUAAACACCAAACUACAAUGAAGUUAUUAUGUGGAUGCUGCAUGUGGCUUACAUUUGGAGCCAGGGUGGUCUAAAAACUAGAAGAAACGUUUGGGAUUCAGGGAGCCUGGGUUCCAUUGUGGACCCAGCCUUAGAAUAAUAUCAACUAAGUCACUUUAUCUCUCGAGUAUUUGGCUAUUAAAUAAGCUGGAUCGUGCAUGGUACACUGAUUUUUUUCCCUCUAUCUUCCCAUUGAAAACUGGUCACCCUGUGGGCAGAGGAAUAUCAGUUCCUGGAAGGGCGCAAAUGGCCAUCAUUCAAUCAUUUUGAGCUUCCUAAAUCCUUGCCUUUUUUUUGACCCCUUAGAAAAGUGAACAGAGUGUUAUCCUGGGAUAUCUUGGUUCCCUCCAGAUUGUCGUAUCAUAAUCCUCUCUAUCUGGCAACCUCUUUUGUCUGGGAAAAUGUAUCUGAAUCUCAGGAUCUGAGUCACUCUGUACUGGUACAUUAAGGGACAAAACACAAUUGGCUCGUUGGGCUCAGUCAGUUUCAUCAUCACUGACUUUCAAAGUGUAAUUGUGACCUUCUCUGAUAUUCCCACCAACUAUGUGCUUCAGAGCACAUAUUUCUAUUAAUAUUAUCUGGCUAUGACUGAGUCAUAUGUCAAAACAAGUUCAAGUUACGGCACAGAAGUUGGUUCCACUUCCCGAUAUCCCAGCUAACAGCUCUUGAGGUCCAACUCACGAGAAAAUCCAAGUCAAAAAUAGGCUCUUAGCCAACUACAGCGAACUGGGGUAUUUUUAGAGAUCAUUGGUCCCUAGUGAACUUCAAUGAUAGCCAGUACUUCCAUUGUACUUUGAGUACAUUCAAAUUAUACUUUAAAAAAUAAAUGUUACUGAUAUCUUUUGUUUUACA
Molecule: long non-coding RNA, 1684 nt
Organism: Monodelphis domestica (gray short-tailed opossum)
Lineage: Eukaryota; Metazoa; Chordata; Mammalia; Didelphimorphia; Didelphidae
Source: Ensembl